Molecule: ribosomal RNA, 505 nt
Filed under: uncultured bacterium
Lineage: Bacteria
Description: partial 16S ribosomal RNA
Rfam family: Bacterial small subunit ribosomal RNA
Source: RNAcentral
GACGAACGCUGGCGGCGUGCCUAAUACAUGCAAGUAGAACGCACAGUUUAUACCGUAGCUUGCUACACCAUAAACUGUGAGUUGCGAACGGGUGAGUAACGCGUAGGUAACCUGCCUGGUAGCGGGGGAUAACUAUUGGAAACGAUAGCUAAUACCGCAUCAUAUUGAUUAUUGCAUGAUAAUUGAUUGAAAGAUGCUAUUGCAUCACUACCAGAUGGACCUGCGUUGUAUUAGCUAGUAGGUGAGGUAACGGCUCACCUAGGCGACGAUACAUAGCCGACCUGGGGGGGUGAUCGGCCACACUGGGACUGAGACACGGCCCAGACUCCUACGGGAGGCAGCAGUAGGGAAACUUCGGCAAUGGACGAAAGUCUGACCGAGCAACGCCGCGUGAGUGAAGAAGGUUUUCGGAUCGUAAAGCUCUGUUGUAAGAGAAGAACGGGUGUGAGAGUGGAAAGUUCACACUGUGACGGUAUCUUACCAGAAAGGGACGGCUAACUACGUG